ACCUCCACCGCCUCCACCUCCUUUUCCGUCACAGCUGCCCCCACUUCCUCCACCACCUGCAGGGCCACCUCCACCUACAGGCCCUCCUCCACCUGCAGGGCCUCCUCCACCUACAGUCCAUCCACCACCUAUGGGGCCUCCACCAUCUACGGGUCCUCCACCACCUAUGGGGCCUCCACCAUCUACGGGUCCUCCACCACCUAUGGGGCCUCCACCUCCAAUGGGCCCUCCACCUAGGGGUCCUCCACCGCUUAUGGGUCCUCCACCACCGACGGGGCCUCCACCACCCACAGGCCCUCCACCACCAAGGGGUCCACCACCUAUUGGGCCUCCACCACCUGCAGGGCCCCCACUACCUCCAGGCCCUCCACCCCCUCCUGGUCCCCCACCCCCUGCAAGCCAGCACCUACCUACAGGUCCUCCACCAUCACUGCUUUCUCAACCACCACUACCUCCUACACCGCAACUGCCACCUCCACCACAGUUACCACCUCCACCGCAACUACAACCUCAACCGCAACUACCACCUCAACCUCCAUUACUGCCAC
RNAcentral lists this long non-coding RNA (548 nucleotides) under Vitis vinifera (wine grape). RNAcentral describes it as "long non-coding RNA (VVIN_LNC000024)". Lineage: Eukaryota; Viridiplantae; Streptophyta; Magnoliopsida; Vitales; Vitaceae. The record is from RNAcentral.